CACCAAGAGAUCAAAAGAGGAGGGGCGUGAGCCCCUCCCUCUUAUGUUGCCCUAAUCCUCAUUAAGUAAGGUUUUGGUUGCCCUAAUGUGGCUAAGCCCUAAUCUAAUUAGGCUUAGUCCAAGGGGAAACCAAAUUGGAUCCAAUCUAGGUAAGUCCUAAUCCAAUUAGAACUUAAAUCAAUUUUGACUCAAUUGAACUCUUCAAUCCUAAUCUAAUUAGGAGUCUUAUUGUUUCAUUAGAUUAAUAAUUAAUUGUGACUUAAGAAACCCUAAUCCAAAUUAGGACAUAUUUAAUUUUAGUCCUAAUCCAAUUAGGACUCUAUUUGAAUCCGAAGUCCUAAUC
RNAcentral lists this long non-coding RNA (343 nucleotides) under Phoenix dactylifera (date palm). RNAcentral describes it as "long non-coding RNA (PDAC_LNC021529)". The record is from RNAcentral. Lineage: Eukaryota; Viridiplantae; Streptophyta; Magnoliopsida; Arecales; Arecaceae.